UGGCUCAGGAUGAACGCUAGCUACAGGCUUAACACAUGCAAGUCGAGGGGCAGCAUUGGGAUAGCUUGCUAUUCAGAUGGCGACCGGCGCACGGGUGAGUAACGCGUAUCCAACCUUCCUGCCAGUAGGGAACAGCCCGGCGAAAGUCGGAUUAAUGCUCUAUGUUCUUCAAUGCGGACAUCUAAGUUGAAGGAAAGAUUCAUCGCUGGCAGAUGGGGAUGCGUCCGAUUAGCUUGCCGGCGGGUAACGGCCCACCGGGGCGACGAUCGGUAGGGGUUCUGAGAGGAAGGUCCCCCACACUGGUACUGAGACACGGACCAGACUCCUACGGGAGGCAGCAGUGAGGAAUAUUGGUCAAUGGGCGUAAGCCUGAACCAGCCAAGUAGCGUGCAGGAAUGACGGCCCUACGGGUUGUAAACUGCUUUUAUGCGGGGAUAAAGUGCGGCACGUGUGCCGCUUUGCAGGUACCGCAUGAAUAAGGACCGGCUAAUUCCGUGCCAGCAGCGGC
Molecule: ribosomal RNA, 508 nt
Filed under: uncultured bacterium
Lineage: Bacteria
Description: bacterial SSU rRNA
Rfam family: Bacterial small subunit ribosomal RNA
Source: RNAcentral